UACUGGGCGUAAAGCGCACGCAGGCGGUCUGUCAAGUCGGAUGUGAAAUCCCCGGGCUCAACCUGGGAACUGCAUUCGAAACUGGCAGGCUUGAGUCUUGUAGAGGGGGGUAGAAUUCCAGGUGUAGCGGUGAAAUGCGUAGAGAUCUGGAGGAAUACCGGUGGCGAAGGCGGCCCCCUGGACAAAGACUGACGCUCAGGUGCGAAAGCGUGGGGAGCAAACAGGAUUAGAUACCCUGGUAGUCCACGCCGUAAACGAUGUCUACUUGGAGGUUGUGCCCUUGAGGCGUGGCUUCCGGAGCUAACGCGUUAAGUAGACCGCCUGGGGAGUACGGCCGCAAGGUUAAAACUCAAAUGAAUUGACGGGGGCCCGCACAAGCGGUGGAGCAUGUGGUUUAAUUCGAUGCAACGCGAAGAACC
RNAcentral lists this ribosomal RNA (419 nucleotides) under Salmonella enterica subsp. enterica serovar Derby. Its description in RNAcentral is "bacterial SSU rRNA". It matches the Rfam family "Bacterial small subunit ribosomal RNA", at positions 552 to 970 of the family's 1533-position model. Lineage: Bacteria; Pseudomonadati; Pseudomonadota; Gammaproteobacteria; Enterobacterales; Enterobacteriaceae. RNAcentral also lists the same sequence under 2 other names. The record is from RNAcentral.